RNAcentral lists this ribosomal RNA (5358 nucleotides) under Triticum aestivum (bread wheat). RNAcentral describes it as "partial small subunit ribosomal RNA". Lineage: Eukaryota; Viridiplantae; Streptophyta; Magnoliopsida; Poales; Poaceae. The record is from RNAcentral.
AUGGAAGCAGAGCAGGCGGCGGAAGUAAGAUCUGGGGAGACUACCAGUCUUAAGUCGCCUGAUACGAUUUCGGUACAUGAUGACAAAGAAAAUUUAGUAAAUGGGAAUUCGAAUCUGCAUGUGAAGGAAACACCCAAUGAUGAAGAUGAUGGAACAGGGUCCGAUGGUUUUGAGCUGGUAGAUGAUGUCUCACCUUUGACAAAGGCAAGUCCCAAAGAGGAUGAAAAAACUUCAGAAUCUGCCACCUUGAACCAAGAAACAGAAAGACUGAAAGUACUAUCAAAGCGCAUUGAAGAGCUUGAAUCUGAAAAGGAAAAAUUGAUGAAGGACAUGACAGAAGCAGAAAAUAAGCAGACACUGCAACACAAUUCUCUACAAGAAGCACAGAGAUCUCUCACUGAGAAGGAUAAAGAGCUGGCUGAUGCAACGCAAUCACUGAGCGAGCUGGGGUCUGAGCUUGAAAUCUCGAAACAGAGGAUUCAAGAAAUUGAGGCAGAGUUAAGUUCAUCAGCUGAUAAGCUCCACAAACUUGAAGAGCUGAAGGAUGAAAGAAGCUUGCAUGCUGCACAGGAAGCGAAAAGGGCUGCAGAACUUGAUAAGAUGCUGGAAAUGGCUCAGUUGAACAUGAAAGAGAUGGAAAACCAGAUUAGCAAUCUUCAGGAAGAGAUAAAGGGACAUCAGGAUAAGGCUGUUGACCAUCAGCAAGUAGAAGAAUCACUGAAUACCACAAUGUCACAAUUCAAGAUGGUGCAAGAAGCACUUGAACUGUCAAAAUCACAAGUGGAUGAUUUGGAGCAGAAGCUUGCCUCGCAGGAUGCUGACAUCAGUAAGCUCACUGAAGAGUUGAGUCUCCAUUGUUCAUCUGAAGAAUCUUUGAAGGAAAAGAGCCUUAAACUAGAGACUGAACUUGCCACCGUGAAUGAAGAGUUACAAGCGAAGCUUCUGAGUUUGCAAGAAAUGGAGAUGAAACUGGAAGAGCAUGCGAAGGAAAAAGAGACAAGUGAAGCUACAUUGGAGAAGCAACAGGCUCAGAUACUCAACCUGCAGUCUGUGCUCGAUGAAUUAAAGGAUGAACAUGAAACUCUCAAAGGGACUCUAGUUGACUCUGAAUCAAAACUAUCAGAGAGAGACUCCAUGCUACGUCAGGCUGAAGAGGAGCAUGCUAAAGCACAGUUGCUCCUAUCAGAAGCAUUGUCGCAUAAAGAAGUACUGGAGGUAAAUCUGAAAUCUAUCAAUGAGCAGCAUGGUGAGUCCAAAGCUGUUGCUGAAGAUGCAAACGGGAAGAUUCUUGAGCUUGAAGCACAGAUUCAGGCACUACAUGCAGCUGAAGAGGCUUUGAAGUCGCAUCUGGAAGAGGCUAGCAUGAAUGUGGAAGUUGCAGAGAAGAAAUGCUCUGCUCUUGAGCAACGGCUCAGUGAAUCUGAGAGUAAAUUAGCCACUUCAAGUGAACAAGUAAAGUUGCUGGAAGAGCAGGUCCAACAAGAAGCAGCUUCUUCAGCAGAAAAAGAAAAGGAGCUUGAAGAAGCAGUGAACAAUGCAGAGGCAUACAAGGAGAAGAUGAAUGAAUUGCAAUCUUCUCUUGAUUCCUCGGCAUCUAAAACUCAGCUACUUGAAGAAGAAGUCAAGGAUCUGACUGACAGAUUCUCACAGCAUCAAGAACAAGCUCAUUCCGUUCACGAAAGAAGUAUUGAACUGGAGAAUUUGCUUCAUACAUCAAAGUCUGAUGCUGAUGGUGCACACUCCCGAAGACAGGAGCUGGAGCAGGAACUUGAAGCCACACAAGCAAAGUUCAAGGAGGUUGAAGCAGAACUAGAACAGUACAGAAGCAAGGUUUCCCACCUUUCCGAUGAUCUAGAAGCUUACCAGACAAAAUCAGCUAGUCUUGAAGCUGUGAUGGAAGCUGCAAGUGGAAAGGAGAAAGAGCUUAUGGACUCCCUGAUUCAAAUCACCGAAGAAAAGAAGAAACUUGAGGAGCUAACAGCAGAGUAUGAAGUAAAACUUCAAGAACAAUUGCAGGAAAAGCAAGUUAUCGAAGAGAGGGUGCAGAGUCAAGAAUUGAAGGUGCUUGAUUUAGAAGAAUUGUUGGCAAAACUGACAGAAGAAAAAGAAAGUGGCGAGAACACCAUUGCUGAUCUUAACCUGCAACUGUCCAAUAAGAAUGACUUGUGCAUGCAGUUGGAGUCCCAGUUAAGCCAAGUUGGGGAUGAUCAUAGCAAAACAAGGUCACUUCUCUCUGAUGCACACUCGCACAAAGAGGAGCUAGAACUGAAUUUGAAAUCUCUUAAUGAUCUUCACACUGAAUCCAAAACAGCUGCAGAGUCUGCAAUGCAGAGGACCGCAGAGCUUGAAACUCAAGUUCAGGAAUUAAGUGCUGCUGAAGAAAGUCUGAAGUUACAGCUUACUGAGUUUGAGUCAAAGCUAGCAUCUGCCGAGAAGAAGAGCACAGAUCUUGAGCAAGAGCUUAAAGAUGUGACAGAUGAAUGCAAUGGUUUCCGUUUGAAGGUUGAUGAACUUUCUGGAGAAGUUGAGGCAUACAAGGAGAAAUCAGCAAGUCUCGAGGCUUUAUUGGCAGAAGCAAACCAAAAAGAGGAUGAGUUGUCAGGGAAGUUGGCUCAAGCUAAUGAAGAGAAGGAGAAGUAUGAAGAAUUGUCAAACAAGGCCACCACAGCGCAUUUGGAAGCCGAGAAGCAGGUCCAGACUUUACAGGCUGAUCUAGAAUCUGCCCGUGGUAAAAUGGAAGAGGUGGAGAAUGAUCUUCAGGCCCUCGGUGUUAGAGAAAGCUCAGUACUUGACAAGCUUAAAUCUGCAGAGGAGCAGCUUGAGCACAGUGGGAAGGCACUAGAACACGCCACUUCCAAGAAAAUUGAUCUGGAAUCUCUGUACCAGUCUUUACUUGAAGAUACAGAGAAGAAGCUCCAGCAAGUGGGGGACAACUUGUCUCAGAAGGAGACGGAUUGUCAGCAACUGUCUGAAAAGUUGAAGUUGGCCGAGGAACAAGUGGCAUCUUAUGAAGCAAAAGCAGCUGGUGCCACUGAAGAGGUGGAAUCCAUGAAGGUGGAGCUCGAAGCCUUUGAAAAUGAGAUCGCUACUCAUGAGACCACCAUUGAGGAACUCAAGACCAAGCUCUCCAGUGCUGAGUCAAAGGCUGAAGAGGCAUUGGCCGAGAGCACGACCAUGGGUGCAGCAAAUCAGGCUCUGAAAGAGGAACUUGAUGCUAAGCUAGCCGUGCUUCAUGAACUGCAAGAGCAGUUUAACUCUACUCAUGCUGAAAAGGAAGAUGUUGUUACAAAGCUAGCUGAGCAUGGAAGAAUGAUAGAACAUUUGACUGAGGUGCACAGUAGAGGCAUAGAACUUCAAUCUGCAGCUGAAUCAAGGAAUGCAGAAGUUGAAGCUCAAAUGCGUGAAGCUCAUGAGACAAUAGCACAGAAAGAUUCAGAAAUUAAAGAUUUGAACGAGAGGCUGAUUGCAAUUCAGUCUGAGACUGAAAGUUUGAUGCAUGUGAAUGAAGCCUUGAAGCAGGAAAUCAGUGCUAAGCUGGUCAUAGUUGAUGAGCUGCAGGAGAAAUUUUUGUCUGCGAGUUCUGAGAAAGAAGAAGCUGCAGAGAAGCUGGCUAUUCAUGAGGAAACAAUAAAACAUUUGACAGAAGAGCAGUCAAAGGGCUUGGAGCUCCAGUCUGCUGCUGAAUCGAGGUAUGCGGAAAUUGAGAGUCAACUGCAUGAAGCUCAUGAGACGAUUGCAAAUAAAGAAGCUGAAGUUACAGACCUCAAGGAAAAGCUGGUUUCUCUUGAAGCUGAGAAUGGAAAACUGGCGGAUAAGAAUGAGCACCUAGAAGGAGAAGUGUUUGCUAAGGUGGCCAUGUAUGAUGAGUUACAGGAACGGUUUAGUGCUACGCAUGCUGAAAAGGAAGAAGCUGUAGAGAAGCUAGCUGCUCAUGAGGGAACAAUCACAAACCUGACAGAGGUGCACACAAGAAACUUGGAACUCCACUCUGCAGCUGAAUCAAAGAUUGGUGAAACUGAAGCUAAACUGCAUGAAGCCCUCGAGACAAUAACACAGAAAGAAGCUGAAGUUAAAGACUUGAGCAAGAAGCUGGAUGCUCUCGAUAUUGAGUUGGGAUAUUAUGAAGAGCAGGCAACGGAAGCUGCUGCCAAUGAAGAAAAUCAUAAGGUUAAGUUUGAUGAAGUCGUGCACAAACUAAAGAGCCUAGAAGCACAACUUGCAGAAACACAAAACAAGGUUGAACUUUUCCAGACAGAGAAAGAAAACUUGAUUACUGCAAAUAGUAGUUUGAGUGAGGAAUUGGAAGUACAUCAGAGCAAGCUGAAUGAAUUACAGCUGGCACUUGCUGCCGCACUAGCAGAAAAGCAGGGGUCGUCAGAAGAGAUUCACUCAUUGCGAAAAACACUCGAUGGCAUGAUUCAACGCAAGGAAGAACUGGAAAGCCAGGUAUCUUCUACUCUGGAAGAGCACGAAGAACUGACGAGCAAGUACCGAAGCACACUGGAAGAGAAGCAGGUGUUAAAUGACAAAUAUGAAACUACAAAGAAGGAACUUGAUGAAGCAAUAGCCAAAUUGGAGGAGCAAAUGAAUUUGGAGAAGUCUGAAAAAGAAUUGCACAUUUCAAAACUCGAGAGGCAAAUUACAGUGUCUGAGCUAAAAUACAUGGAGGAGAUCCAGACCAUGCAAGUUGAAACAACUGAAAAGAAUGAAGCACUUACAAGCAAGAUGCAGGAGCAUGCAAACUUAGUCCAUGAAAAAGAUCAGUUGGAGCAACAAUUGCUGGAAGUUAGGAAGGAACUGGAGGCUGCUUACCGUACCAUCGCUAACCAGGAAGAGCAAGCUUCAGUGAGGGAGAUAAAGUGGGAUGCGUUUAAGACGUAUUCAGCGGAUCAACUAGAAGCUGCACAAAAACACGCUGCAGAGCUGGAAGUACAAGUAUCAGCUCUAAAUCAGCAGCUGCAAGAAGCUGAGAUCCAUUACAAGAAAAAGGUUGCAAAGGAGAGUGAGAAACUCGCUCUUGUCAAUACACAGCUCAACAAGCUAACCCAAAAUGUGAGCAAGAGCGCUGAAAUGGAGAAGAAGGUACAGGACCUUGAGCAGAAGUUGCAGCUUGCUCAUUCCAAAUCUGAAGAACAGGCAAAGGAUGCAGUGGUGUCAACGAGAUCCCGAGAAUUCAGCCUGGACUCGUUAGCACCGCAAAACAAACAGCGCGACAUAUCUCAGGCUCCUAGCAUGGCCUCCCCGAACCCGGCGCAGCAACAACUGCGGGAGCCCUCCGGCAUCAUGGCCUUCAAGUUCAUCCUGGGCGUCGCCUUGCUGUCAGUGGUCAUCGGCGUGUUCCUCGGAAGGAGAUACUAG